This is a long non-coding RNA of Astatotilapia calliptera (eastern happy), 1340 nucleotides long. Lineage: Eukaryota; Metazoa; Chordata; Actinopteri; Cichliformes; Cichlidae. The record is from Ensembl.
ACUUGCCUUCCAAACCUUUGGUUGGCAUACACCCAGAUGCCGUGGUGAUGGUGUCUGUGCAGUACUAGAUAUAGCAGAGUAUAGAUGUGGUGUACUCCUUCUGGUAGGCAGGCUGGUAACAUAAACAAGGAUAUUUGGUCCAACUAGCACAGGUGGGGUGUUGUUAUGGUGCUGUAUCCUUGUUUAAUGUUGGAGUAGACUUUAUUCAGUAGCUUUUCCCACGUGCAGUACAGUUUACAUACUGACAAAAAUUGGGGAAGUAACCUGAACACAUUUGAUAUAAUUUAUCACUGAUUAUAUGUAGAUGUUUUAUUGUUUAUCCAGUCUGAGGAGCUGCAAUUUGUCAGUGAUCAGCUGUGCUGCACUGGUUUCUGCUCUGAGGUCCAGUCCUUCACAUCUAAGAAUCCUGAACCUGAGUGACAACAACCUGCAGGAUUCAGACGUUAAGCAACUCUCUAAACUUGUGAGGAGUCUACACUAUAAACUGGAUACCCCAAGCUGGGAAUGAUGAUCUUGGCAAUGGUGACAGUGUAUGUGAGUGGAUGAGCUGUGUCCUGAUCAUCCCGAGAGACUGAAGCAGCAGCAACGUGUGCGUUACUGGGAGGUGAAAUGGAGAGUUAAGCUUCAUCCAAAGAGAAGAAGUCUAGAUGACUGUUAGUGCUGGAGCGUGAACUCUUCUAAGAGUAUGCUAAGUGUAUUCUUCUAACAGCUGCACUGAAGAAAAAACGCAUCAAGGGGGAAAGGGACACAGUUAUUAUUAAGGGGGAAAGGGACACAGUUAUUAUUAUUAUUAUUAUUAUUAUUAUUAUUAGUAGUAGUAGUAGUACUAUUAUAACAACCAAUGAUCAAUUUUACAAAUAUAAGUAUAAAUGAAAAAAUAUGAAUACUGAUGCUUUUAAUGAAGGACAAUGUAAAUACUGGUGUAAGUAUAUACUCAUAUAGUUAGAUAUCAUUCUUUUUAUUUAGUUUUUUUUUUUCAAAUAAGUACUUUCAGUUUAACUUCAUUUUAAAUGUUAUUCAGCUUUUGCUUUAUGUUCUGUGCUAUAAAUAAAUCUAUCAUGAUACUACAACACUUCAAACCACAACAAUGUGUUGGUUAUUUUAACAUAGGCAGAUAGAUUUUAAAACAAUUAAGAGUUUAUUGUAUUAUAUGUCUUCACUAAUGGACAGCUUAAAUGGCAUUCUGACACAAUCAUUUUCGUCCAUGGUGGCGGAAGCUACCCCUUCAGUAGCUCCUGCUUGCAUUAUAUUCUUUAUUGUCAUUACCUGAUGGAACAUAAAGAUGUUAAUAAUUCAAUUUAAUUCAAUUUUAUUUGAUUUAUACAGUGCCGAACUACAAC